This 338-nucleotide long non-coding RNA is filed under the name Mytilus galloprovincialis (Mediterranean mussel). Lineage: Eukaryota; Metazoa; Mollusca; Bivalvia; Mytilida; Mytilidae. The record is from RNAcentral.
UGGUGUUUGUUUGUUUCAGUGGCAAAUAUUUCAUGCAUUUUUAAAGACGAGAACCGUUUGGUUAUAAUUCAUCUUGGUUAUUUCUGCAGUGGAUUGACAUGGGUAAAGAACAUGAAAUCUAACUGCCACUUGCUUUUGAAAUAACGGUGUUUUGGAUAGGGACAAAAAAAUCCAAUUGAAAAACGGUCAUAGGGUUCUCAAUGUGCAGAGCGUGCUGCAAUUUACUGACAUGCGGCAAUAUAUUUAAUGUUCCCAUUCAGAAAGAAUGAGAAUUUAUACAUCCACAACCAAACUUAUUCACCUCUUUAGCAUGGGUUUUGCCAUUCAAGGUCCUUUUU